Molecule: long non-coding RNA, 3697 nt
Filed under: Ricinus communis (castor bean)
Lineage: Eukaryota; Viridiplantae; Streptophyta; Magnoliopsida; Malpighiales; Euphorbiaceae
Description: long non-coding RNA (RCOM_LNC002155)
Source: RNAcentral
UUGUAGUAAUCGUAAACCUAUAAGGACUUUGAUUAGAAGGCCAUAUAUAUACAAAGAGAUGCAUAAGGAGGAAAUUUUGAUGUCAUUAAUGAGAAACACAUUUUUCUAGAGAAGAAUACUCUAGGUGAAUCAAUCAAUAAGAUUAAUUAAUUCAUCCCCUUGCUUGGAACUAAUAUUCAAUUUUCUACAUCUCUUCUCAAUCUCUUAAAAGUUUGUUAAAAGAUCUUUGCUUAGAAGCUUGUGUGGAUCACCAAAAGAGGUUGGAUUAGUAGCUUUAAAGUGCAUCAAUCAUCCUUGAAUAAUCAAGAAUCAACAAAGCAAGAAGCACUCCUUUGAUUGGCCAAAAACGUUUUUUGUAAGUCUUCUCCAUCUUUUGCUUGUUUUGUGUAUUAUAACUAUUUUACAUUAAUGAGAUCCUUAGUGGGAUUUGAAAAACUUUUGUUUUAUUCUAUUGCGCCUUUUUUUAUAUUUUUAGUAUCAAUUCCUAAUAGUGGUAUCAGAGUCUCAAUUGGUUAACUUAGUCAUAAUGAUUGCAUAAUUGUUAAUUGAUUAAAAGCAUGCAAAUCUGUAAUUUCUAGGUUGUUUUAGAGAUUUCGUUGGUUGCCAUAACAUAGGUCGAAUUUUUAGGUGAUUCUUGUUGCAUAUGUACCCUAAGGAUAAAACUUAUGAUCUGAAAGUUCUUAUAAUUUUGGAUCUUGUUUGAUUAUAGUUUGGGUGUUGAGAGUCCAUACCUUACAUAUAGACAACUUUUGAUGUGAUCGUCAAUACCCAAUCUCUAAUCAAAUUUGGAUGGCAAAUUGAUUGAAAUAAAUUCAUGGGUAAUUGUUACAGUAAACUUUCUUGAAUAUUUGAUGUUCAAGAUCCGUGCAAAACAACUUGGAAUUGGAUUCUUGAUGAUCAAAGCAAAACUAUGUAUAUACUACACAUUCUAAGAGUUUGGCAUAUGCAUGUGUAUAUGGGCUUUGAUUUGAUUUGUUUUUGGAACAACUAUGAAUAUGAUUUAGAAGAUGAAUUAAGAUUUCUGAAAAUUUAAGGUUUAAUCUUCAUGAAUACUAUAUAUGUGCAUAACAUACAAAUCAAGUGUUAAUUUGAUAAGCUAUGCGCAUAGUAUGGGUUGCUUAUGGAAUUCGGCAUGUGUGUGUAUUCUUGGUCUAAUGGCAAGUCUUUUGAUGAAAAACAUCAGAUCUAGAUCAUGCAUAAGAUAAGUUCUUAAAGCAAUAUUGAAGGUUGAUUUAAGUCUUGAUUAUGUUUCUUGUAUAGUUACCUUAUUUCUUGAUGUUUGCCAUGUGAAUCUUGAUUAUCUUGAAUUGUUUGAUAUCAAAUUUGAUUUUCUUGAUGAUGGAUCUUUGUAAACUCAAUUAAUUUUGGAAUUAAUGUGCCUAAUUAGCCUUGUUAGAUCUUUAAAUCUUGUUAAAUAAGGAGUGUCCUUAUUUGUAGAGAUUUCUAGAUAAAGACAAGAGUUACCUUAUCCUAGUUGGCAUAUGACUCCUCGUCAUAAGACAUAUCCUAGUUGUCUUAGGAUUAUAAUUAUUUAUUCUAAUAUGACUAGGAGAUUCAUUAAAAGGUUAGUUAUCUAGAUUAAGACAAGAGUUUGACUCUUGACCUAAAUUUUAGACAUGACCGAAAAUUACAAGAAUUAAAAGAAAAUUUUUAUUUUUUAGAUUUAAUUUAAUUAAUUAAAAUUCUCAUUAAUCCUAAUUAACCUAGGACUUAUGUCUUAGUAUCCUAGUAUGACUAGGUUGUUUGUCUUAAUUAAGACAAAAGUUUGACUUUAUGUCUUAAUGCUCGACUUUCUAUCCUAAAAGGACAUAAAAUCAAAAUAUAGGAUAUUCUAUAGGAAUUAAUUAUUAAUUAAAUAUGAUUUAGUUAAUUCCAGUUCUCUACAACUUACUACAAUUAAGUUUAAAUCUUGGUUUCCUAGUAUGACUAGGAUUAGUAACAUUUGUUUGGUUAAAAGUUGACUUUAUGUCCUAAUUUUUGUUUUGGCCAAAAAUUACACUCUAAAAUAAGGAAAUACUUUUUGGAUAUGAUUUAAUUAUUUUAAUUUUCCAUACCCCAUUUAGUCCUAAUUGCAUACAAUGAUCAAAUAACUUGAAUUAUGUUAUCUUGAUUCGUUUAUAUGCUUUAUAUAAUUUGAUUAUAUUUGGCAUGAUAGAUGGUUAUGGACUAUAGAGACCAAUGUGAUCGUGUUAAAUAGUUAAAUGUUUUGAUUUGAUAAUUUUGAAAUAAGUAAUGUGUUCCUUGUCUUUCUCUAAUUUCUUUGGAUUGUAAAAUUAUUUUUCAUCUAACUCUCCUUGAAUGGAAAUCGAGAUUUCUUUAAAUUUUAUUAACAAAUAUACCACUUUUACGAGAUUAUUUUCUCAUAUUAUACAAUUAAUCCAUUUAAGGGGUUGUUUUCUCAUACUCACAAAUAUACCAAAAUUACGGGAUUAUUUUCUCCGAUUUGAUAUUUGUAUGUUUAUGCCAAAGCAUAAGACCUUAAUCACCACUUAAUAAUAAAUCCCUCCUUCAAUAUUAAGUCACAUGUUAAGAACAUGAUUAAGUUACUUUCCAUAAUUAAAAUAGGAACAAGGGCCUUGUUAAUAGGUUAAUUUGUUGAGUCACUCAAGGUUGCCUAUUACAUGGGCAUGUCCUUUAUUUUAAUUAACAAGUCUUACUUAAAUAUCUUAUAUAAAUUGGAUGAGUCACCCAUAUUUAUAUAAACAUAGAGGUAUGAAUUAGGUGAAAAACAUCAAGAAGACGUCAUCCAUUACCUUUUUUUGCUGUAGAUGCACCGGAGGAGAUAGUGCAAGAGUACAAAAAACUUUAAGGAGACGUGAUAUGCCUGAUAUUACACAUGUUUGCAUGAUUUUGAGUUAUUUUAGAGAAAAUUAUGUGUUUUUAUAUUAGAAUCACCAUAUUUUAGUUUCCUUUAUAUCUAGGGUGUUUUUCUAGGUACAUCAUCAAAGUUAGAGAGAAAUUGGACCAAAAUCGGAAAUAAACGGUCAAAUCGGGAGCGUUAGACUGUUCAACACGCCUUGCCAACACGCCCGUGCUGAGGAGCAUGGUCAGGGUUAGAGGGCGUGCUGAAAUGCCUCACCUGUGGUGAGAAGAAGUGAUUUACAACACGGUUUUCGAGAGUGACGCGGUCUAGGAGCAUACCCAUACUGAGCAGCACGACCCAAAUCCAAGACGUGCUGAAGAAGGCCAAAAUGUACACUUUUAGAUUAACACAGCAUGGAUCCAUCCGUGCUGGUCAACAUGGCCCAAAUCCAGGCCGUGUUGGAUCCCGAAACCUAAUUUAAAAGAAGAAAAGGGAGAUAGAGAGAGAACUUUGGGGUAUUCAAGACAAACCUUGAGAGCAACCUUCCAGACGAUCAAGAAGAGAAAAAUGGAGACAAAUUCCAUUUCAACAUCAUCUAAAUAGUUGCUCUUGAGGAUUGGAUUGAAGAUUCAAAGGAAAGAAGAAAGAGAUCUUGAGCUGUAGAGAUUGAAUUCAAAGUUAUUCAAGAGGGGGAUAGCAUUUCACCGUUUGAGAAAAGGGUGUUCAUGUUCUUUUUUAUUCUUGUUUACUUUAUAUUCGAUUAUUGUAGUAGUUUAAUCAUGAACAUGUGUAACUAAUUCUAUUAAACCCAUUUGGGGGGGGUGAUCUUUAGCCAUGCUAGGCUGUUUUUGUGCUUAAUUGAUUGGAUUGUUGAUUUAAGAUUGUAAUUUUCAU